AGCUGCACGAGGAUGACCGAAGGUGGGAAGAGGAAGCGUGAGCCGAUGUACAAGAACUGGAUAAAAGGCGGUGCCGAUCAGGGCAAGCGGGCACGUAAACCGCGAAGCUCUCGUGGUCAAGGUAUUAGGUGUGGUAAAUCCGGCGGUUGUGUGGUGAAAGAUUGCGUUC
Candidatus Burkholderia crenata is the source of this 169-nucleotide non-coding RNA. Lineage: Bacteria; Pseudomonadati; Pseudomonadota; Betaproteobacteria; Burkholderiales; Burkholderiaceae. The record is from Rfam.